Dendronephthya gigantea is the source of this 492-nucleotide long non-coding RNA. RefSeq lists it as uncharacterized. The transcript has 3 exons. Lineage: Eukaryota; Metazoa; Cnidaria; Anthozoa; Malacalcyonacea; Nephtheidae. The record is from RefSeq and is a predicted model, not a curated record.
UACGUUACGAAACAUUAGAACUUUCACGCACUCACAUGUUGCGAGCAGAACCGAUGCGCAGAACGGGCUUCACCUCCACUUUAAAAGGACAGCUUGGUAUAUUAUCAGCUACUAUACGAGGUCCCGGACCAAGAAUAUUUCUGUUAGCGACAUCAAAAGUCUUGUUAUUAGUGAUGUGGAGGAUGGUAAUAAAGAUAAGGAGGCUAAAUUACAAACAGAAAUGGUUAAACGUGAUUCACAACUGGCAUCUAAACAAAAAGCUCUUAAAAUUAGUCUAAAGCAAUACGGAGAAGAUCAUCCCGACACAGCUAACAGUUAUUACAACAUUGGAAUCAUACAAAAUAUGAUGAAAUAUUUCAAGUCAGCAUUAGUUUCACAUCAAAAAGCUCUUCACAUCAGAUUGAAACUAUAUGGAGAAGAUCAUCCCGACACAGCUAACAGUUACAGCAGCAUUGGAUGCACACAAAAUGAGAUGAAAGAUUUCAAGUCAGC